This is a long non-coding RNA of Odontomachus brunneus, 693 nucleotides long. RefSeq lists it as uncharacterized. The transcript is spliced from 2 exons. The record is from RefSeq and is a predicted model, not a curated record. Lineage: Eukaryota; Metazoa; Arthropoda; Insecta; Hymenoptera; Formicidae.
UCGAGUUUUCCUGAACAAGCGUGCGAUUACUAAAAUCCGCUUGACCAAUGCAAGAUCGCAUGUGUACUUGAUUCUACCGCGUAUUCAAACGUCAGGCCUUUGUCGGAGUAAAAUCUCCAGCACGUGCGACGGCGGUGGCGUAUGACAGUGGUGGUAAUGAAGCCGGUCAUCAGCGAUGCUGUUCCUGAUGGUCGGUGGAUCUGGCCAGCGAUCGAGAUUGCUCCAAUUCCACUUUCCCUUCUGCUUCACAGCAUAGUAUCGAUAGACUAGGAUCGUCAUGGCCACCACCAGGGCUAAUCCCGUGCCGGCCGCGGCGCCAAAUAUCGCCGACGAAACCAUGAUCCUUCGCGCGUACUCGUGAUAGUCUCGAUCGAAUAUUUUUUGUUCAACCUGCGACAGAAAUAGCGAAUCGUUGCAGCGCUCCGAAAACGUUUCGAACGAAAUGGAUAUAAAACGACCGACUUUUCAAGAAUAGCUUAAACUCAGAUUUAAGUUCAAACUUUGUUCGCAAACACAUCAGGUAUAGAACAGAGUUAGAACUUAAAUCUAGUUUAAACUAGUAUCGACCCUGGAUAAUGUGAGGUGUGUUGAAAAAGAUUUGUAAGAUAUCUUAUUCUCCCAGUACAGUUUCUACGUCUGAAUGGAGAGAAACGUGUCGAGAAAAUAAAGGAAGAUGAGCUGAGAAUUAAGAAA